RNAcentral lists this ribosomal RNA (241 nucleotides) under uncultured bacterium. Its description in RNAcentral is "partial 16S ribosomal RNA". It matches the Rfam family "Bacterial small subunit ribosomal RNA", at positions 15 to 236 of the family's 1533-position model. The record is from RNAcentral.
GAUCCUGCCUCAGGAUGAACGCUGGCGGCGUGCUUAACACAUGCAAGUCGAGCGAAGCACUUUACUUGGAUUUCUUCGGAAUGACGAGUAUUGUGACUGAGCGGCGGACGGGUGAGUAACGCGUGGGUAACCUGCCUCAUACAGGGGGAUAACAGUUAGAAAUGACUGCUAAUACCGCAUAAGACCACAGCACCGCACGGUGCAGGGGUAAAAACUCCGGUGGUAUGAGAUGGACCCGCGU